GGGGCUGAUUCUGGAUUCGACGGGAUUUACGAAACCCAAGGUGCAUGCCGAGGGGCGGUUGGCCUCGUAAAAAGCCGCAAAAAAAUAGUCGCAAACGACGAAACCUACGCUUUAGCAGCUUAAUAACCUGCUUAGAGCCCUCUCUCCCUAGCCUCCGCUCUUAGGACGGGGAUCAAGAGAGGUCAAACCCAAAAGAGAUCGCGCGGAUGCCCUGCCUGGGGUUGAAGCGUUAAAACGAAUCAGGCUAGUCUGGUAGUGGCGUGUCCGUCCGCAGGUGCCAGGCGAAUGUAAAGACUGACUAAGCAUGUAGUACCGAGGAUGUAGGAAUUUCGGACGCGGGUUCAACUCCCGCCAGCUCCACCA
RNAcentral lists this transfer-messenger RNA (363 nucleotides) under Salmonella enterica. Its description in RNAcentral is "Standard tmRNA". It matches the Rfam family "transfer-messenger RNA". From Rfam's summary of the family: Bacterial tmRNA, also known as 10Sa RNA or SsrA, is named for its dual tRNA and mRNA-like properties. Its role is to liberate the mRNA from a stalled ribosome. To accomplish this part of the tmRNA is used as a reading frame that ends in a translation stop signal. Lineage: Bacteria; Pseudomonadati; Pseudomonadota; Gammaproteobacteria; Enterobacterales; Enterobacteriaceae. The record is from RNAcentral.